UGCGGAUCGGUACAUGAUGAGGCAAGAGUCAAGAAGGCUGUUAAAGACCUUGUCCGAAGACCAUUAGAAGCAGACCCAUUAGGAAAGCGAUUGGUGAAUAAACUAUCACACCGACACGCAGACCAAAGUCCAGCUAAUGCAUUUAAGAGGAGCCGACAACUGACAAUGAAGCAGGCCGGCACAAACCUCCAAAUCCAAGCCCCGAGCCUUUACAAGCAAGGGGUUUGAUGUUAACAUGACACUCAAACAGGCAUGCCCCUCGGAAUACCAAGGGGCGCAAGGUGCGUUCAAAGAUUCGAUGAUUCACUGAAUUCUGCAAUUCACAUUACUUAUCGCAUUUCGCUGCGUUCUUCAUCGAUGCGAGAGCCAAGAGAUCCGUUGUUGAAAGUUGUAUUUCAUUUCGCCCACAAGGAGCAUUACAUUCUACAAGACAAUUAAAGUGUGUAUGAUGAAGUCAAAGUGUUCGUCAAUCCCAGCCAAGGCCGACCAUAUGCUUUCGCGUCGAAACACUACUAACAAAGUCAACCCCGGCGGCUCCGACUAAGGAGGAAAGACUACUAACUUCGAUAAGGUGCACAGGUGUUGAGUGGAUUAAGCACGAAGGCCGAGCACAGUGCGUGUUUCCACGCCAGCAUCAAGCCCUCGAUUUUAAAAACUCGAUAAUGAUGCUUCCGCAGUUCCCCCCCUACGAAAGAGGGGGAGUAAAGGGAUUUUUUAAAAAAGGGGCUUGAUGCUGGGGGUGAAAACAACCGUGUGGGCGGCCUGUCGUCUCUACAUCCCACCAAACACGAGGGCGCC
This 798-nucleotide unclassified non-coding RNA is filed under the name Porodaedalea pini. RNAcentral's name for it is "sequence contains 18S rRNA gene, ITS1, 5.8S rRNA gene, ITS2 and 28S rRNA gene". Lineage: Eukaryota; Fungi; Basidiomycota; Agaricomycetes; Hymenochaetales; Hymenochaetaceae. The record is from RNAcentral.